This 959-nucleotide unclassified non-coding RNA is filed under the name Hevea brasiliensis (rubber tree). Lineage: Eukaryota; Viridiplantae; Streptophyta; Magnoliopsida; Malpighiales; Euphorbiaceae. The record is from RNAcentral.
AAAUAAAUCAAAAGCAAUUGCUGUGGUGUUUCAUUAAUGAAGGUAGAUUUGAACAAUAAAUAAAUGAGAGAGAAUAGAAUAGAACCAGACGUUGCCCAACACCCAACAUGGCAACAUCAAUGAGCUGGUUGAGAAAUGAGAAAGGGUCUUGGGCAAGUGGCUCAGAGCACUAGGCCUUGGGCUUUCCCCCCUUUCUAUCCUUCGAUUAUCUAACGCUUGACUUUUGUUUUUCAUUUUUUUGAUGUGAUGCUUACCUACUCAGUUUUGUUUUCAAAUCUCAUAACCAAAACCCUAUUUCCCAUAAAAAUAAUAAUAAGAAAAACCUAAAUUCAUAUAUCUACUAUAAUUCUGUUCUAGUGGAUUUGCAGGCACUCUGCCAGUAUAGAAUUUUACAAUGGAACAAAAAUUCUUAGAAGGUAUUAUGUAUGCAACAAAGUUUUUGCAAUGGGUGUGAUGUUUUUCGUGGAUUCUAAUGAUAAGCGUAGGUAUGUUAAUAUCUAGAAUUGUUUUCUAGUUGGUCCAGUGUCUCUUUCAUUCAACAAACUAUAGCCUACCCAAUAAAGCUACGAUGGAUGAAUAACAGUGUAUUUCAUUUUCAAAGCCGCAUAAGAUUCAUCUCUAAAAUUAAUAAUAAUAAUAAUAAUCAUUGGUGCAUAGUUAGGCACUUUGGCUACUUCAUAGAAGAUAAAAGUGCAAGCUUCAACUCAUAUUGAGUGGUAUUAGUAUCACCUGUAUUUGAGCAUUUGUUUGUAUAGUGAAAGUUAAGACAAUUUAUUCUCAACUAUAUUUUCUACAAUGUGUGACCUUGAACUUUUACUUAUGGGUGUUUCAGUUUUCAGUUUGUGUCUGCCUUAGAACCCAAACUGAACCGAACUUUCGGUAGGGUUGUAUUCCAAUUCUUUGAUAUUUUGGUUUUGAUUUGAUUUGAUUUUUGGUGCUUCGAUUCCAGUUGGGUUCAG